GCCCGAUUGAUGAAAUUGGUAAACAUACAUGACUCAAAAUCAUGCGCCGAAAGGCUUGUCGGUUCGACUCCGACAUCGGGCACCA
RNAcentral lists this transfer RNA (85 nucleotides) under Acholeplasmatales bacterium. RNAcentral's name for it is "tRNA-Leu". It matches the Rfam family "tRNA". Rfam says of the family: Transfer RNA (tRNA) molecules are approximately 80 nucleotides in length. Their secondary structure includes four short double-helical elements and three loops (D, anti-codon, and T loops). Further hydrogen bonds mediate the characteristic L-shaped molecular structure. tRNAs have two regions of fundamental functional importance: the anti-codon, which is responsible for specific mRNA codon recognition, and the 3' end, to which the tRNAs corresponding amino acid is attached (by aminoacyl-tRNA synthetases). tRNAs cope with the degeneracy of the genetic code in two manners: having more than one tRNA (with a specific anti-codon) for a particular amino acid; and 'wobble' base-pairing, i.e. permitting non-standard base-pairing at the 3rd anti-codon position. Lineage: Bacteria; Bacillati; Mycoplasmatota; Mollicutes; Acholeplasmatales. The record is from RNAcentral.